AAACCAACAGGGAUUGCCCUAGUAACGGCGAGUGAAGCGGCAACAGCUCAAAUUUGAAAUCUGGCCCUAGGUCCGAAUUGUAAUUUGUAGAGGAUGCUUUUGGUUAGGUUCCUUCCGAGUGCCCUGGAACGGGACGCCUUAGAGGGUGAGAGCCCCGUACGGUUGGAUACCAAGCCUCUGUAAAGCUCCUUCGACGAGUCGAGUAGUUUGGGAAUGCUGCUCUAAAUGGGAGGUAAAUUUCUUCUAAAGCUAAAUAUUGGCCAGAGACCGAUAGCGCACAAGUAGAGUGAUCGAAAGAUGAAAAGUACUUUGAAAAGAGGGUUAAACAGCACGUGAAAUUGUUGAAAGGGAAGCGUUUAUGACCAGACUUUUUCCAGGCGGAUCAUCCGGUGUUCUCACCGGUGCACUUUGCCUGGUUCAGGCCAGCAUCGGUUUCUGUGGGGGGAUAAAAUCAGCAGGAAUGUGGCUCCCUCGGGAGUGUUAUAGCCUGUUGAAUAAUACCUUUAUGGGGACCGAGGUUCGCGCUCUGCAAGGAUGCUGGCGUAAUGGUCAUCAACGAC
Molecule: ribosomal RNA, 560 nt
Filed under: Sordariomycetes sp. OTU62 TS-2013
Lineage: Eukaryota; Fungi; Ascomycota; Sordariomycetes
Description: eukaryotic LSU rRNA
Rfam family: Eukaryotic large subunit ribosomal RNA
Source: RNAcentral